UUGGAGGGCAAGUCUGGUGCCAGCAGCCGCGGUAAUUCCAGCUCCAAUAGCGUAUAUUAAAGUUGUUGCAGUUAAAAAGCUCGUAGUUGAACUUCGGGAUCAAUUGAUUGGUCAUGCCAUUGGUAUGUACUGGUCAUAUUGGUUCUCACCUUCUAAGGAACCAUAAUGUCAUUAAUUUGAUGUUUUGGGGAAUUAGGACUGUUACCUUGAAAAAAUUAGAGUGUUUAAAGCAGGCUAACGCUUGAAUACAUUAGCAUGGAAUAAUGAAAUAGGACAUCGCAUUCUAUUUUGUUGGUUUCUAGGAUCGAUGUAAUGAUUAAUAGGGAUAGUUGGGGGCAUUAGUAUUCAAUUGUCAGAGGUGAAAUUCUUGGAUUUAUUGAAGACUAACUACUGCGAAAGCAUUUGCCAAGGAUGUUUUCAUUAAUCAAGAACGAAAGUUAGGGGAUCGAAGACGAUCAGAUACCGUCGUAGUCUUAACCAUAAACUAUGCCGACUAGGGAUCGGAUGAUGUUGAUUUUUUAAUGACUCAUUCGGCGCCUUACGGGAAAC
Molecule: ribosomal RNA, 549 nt
Filed under: uncultured Glomeromycotina
Lineage: Eukaryota; Fungi; Glomeromycota
Description: SSU rRNA
Rfam family: Eukaryotic small subunit ribosomal RNA
Source: RNAcentral